This 465-nucleotide ribosomal RNA is filed under the name uncultured bacterium. Its description in RNAcentral is "bacterial SSU rRNA". It matches the Rfam family "Bacterial small subunit ribosomal RNA", at positions 33 to 507 of the family's 1533-position model. The record is from RNAcentral.
ACACGCUGGCGGCGUGCCUAACACAUGCAAGUCGAACGGGAUCCAUGGGAGCUUUGCUCCCGGAAGAUCUAGUGGCGAACGGGUGAGUAACACGUGAGAAACCUGCCUCGGAGUCGGGGAUAACUCGGGGAAACCCGAGCUAAUACCGGAUACCUUCCUCGGACCGCAUGGUCCGUUGAAGAAAGAUUCAUCGCUCCGAGAUGGUCUCGCGGCCUAUCAGCUAGUUGGUGGGGUAACGGCCCACCAAGGCUACGACGGGUAGCUGGUUUGAGAGAAUGAUCAGCCACACUGGGACUGAGACACGGCCCAGACUCCUACGGGAGGCAGCAGUGGGGAAUCUUGCGCAAUGGGCGAAAGCCUGACGCAGCAACGCCGCGUGCGGGAAGAAGGCCUUUGGGUUGUAAACCGCUUUCAGCAGGGACGAAACUGACGGUACCUGCAGAAGAAGGUCCGGCUAACUACGUG